RNAcentral lists this ribosomal RNA (492 nucleotides) under uncultured bacterium. RNAcentral's name for it is "partial 16S ribosomal RNA". It matches the Rfam family "Bacterial small subunit ribosomal RNA", at positions 29 to 507 of the family's 1533-position model. The record is from RNAcentral.
AGUGAACGCUGGCGGUAGGCCUAACACAUGCAAGUCGAACGGUAGCACAGUAAGAGCUUGCUCUUACGGGUGGCGAGUGGCGGACGGGUGAGGAAUACAUCGGAAUCUACUUUUUCGUGGGGGAUAACGUAGGGAAACUUACGCUAAUACCGAAUACGACCUACGGGUGAAAGCAGGGGAUCUUAGGACCUUGCGCGAUUGAAUGAGCCGAUGUCGGAUUAGCUAGUUGGCGGGGUAAAGGCCCACCAAGGCGACGAUCCGUAGCUGGUCUGAGAGGAUGAUCAGCCACACUGGAACUGAGACACGGUCCAGACUCCUACGGGAGGCAGCAGUGGGGAAUAUUGGACAAUGGGCGCAAGCCUGAUCCAGCCAUGCCGCGUGAGUGAAGAAGGCCUUCGGGUUGUAAAGCCCUUUUGUUAGGAAAGAAAAGCAGCAGGUUUAUACCCCGCUGUUCUGACGGUACCCAAAGAAUAAGCACCGGCUAACUUCGUG